This 253-nucleotide ribosomal RNA is filed under the name uncultured bacterium. RNAcentral's name for it is "partial 16S ribosomal RNA". It matches the Rfam family "Bacterial small subunit ribosomal RNA", at positions 524 to 776 of the family's 1533-position model. The record is from RNAcentral.
GACGAACCGAGCGAACGUUGUUCGGAAUCACUGGGCUUAAAGGGCGCGUAGGCGGGCGGUUAAGUCUGCGGUGAAAUCCUCCAGCUCAACUGGAGAACUGCCGUGGAUACUGGCUGUCUUGAGUACGGGAGAGGUGUGUGGAACUCCGAGUGUAGAGGUGAAAUUCGUAGAUAUUCGGAAGAACACCAGUGGCGAAGGCGACACACUGGCCCGUUACUGACGCUGAGGCGCGAAAGCGUGGGGAGCAAACAGG